UACAGAGGUCUCAAGCGUUAAUCGGAAUCACUGGGCUUAAAGGGUCCGCAGGUGGUUUGACAAGUAUCUUGUGAAAUCUACGGUCUCAACCCGUAAAUUGCUCGGUAAACUGUCAGACUUGAGUGUGGUAGGGGUCGCUGGAACCGUAGGUGGAGCGGUGAAAUGCGUAGAUAUCUACGGGAACGCCAAAGGUGAAGACAGGCGACUGGACCACAACUGACACUCAGGGACGAAAGCGUGGGGAUCAAACGGG
Molecule: ribosomal RNA, 253 nt
Filed under: uncultured bacterium
Lineage: Bacteria
Description: partial 16S ribosomal RNA
Rfam family: Bacterial small subunit ribosomal RNA
Source: RNAcentral